ACAUGUAAGAUUCCCCAAAGGGGGAACCACCUAGGACAGGCAUGAUCACACGAAGGCUCCAGGGAAGGACUUGGGGGGCUAUGGAAAGAGGGGGUGAUCGACCCUCACCCCUUGGCUUUGACAAAGCCUGAGUCCUCAUUCUGCCUGAGAGAAGUCUCCAAUCUCUCGGCUGCCUUGUCUCCUCUGCCUGACUCAAGCCUGUAACAAUGA
Phyllostomus discolor (pale spear-nosed bat) is the source of this 210-nucleotide long non-coding RNA. RefSeq lists it as uncharacterized. Lineage: Eukaryota; Metazoa; Chordata; Mammalia; Chiroptera; Phyllostomidae. The transcript is spliced from 3 exons. The record is from RefSeq and is a predicted model, not a curated record.